UACGGGGGGAGCAAGCGUUGUUCGGAUUUACUGGGCGUAAAGAGCGUGUAGGCGGCCAGGUAGGUCUGGUGUGAAAACUCGAGGCUUAACCUCGAGAUGUCAUCGGAAACCAUCUGGCUAGAGUCCGGAAGAGGAGAGUGGAAUUCCUGGUGUAGCGGUGAAAUGCGCAGAUAUCAGGAAGAACACCAAUGGCGAAAGCAGCUCUCUGGGACGGUACUGACGCUGAGACGCGAAAGCGUGGGGAGCGAACAGG
RNAcentral lists this ribosomal RNA (253 nucleotides) under uncultured bacterium. RNAcentral describes it as "partial 16S ribosomal RNA". It matches the Rfam family "Bacterial small subunit ribosomal RNA", at positions 524 to 776 of the family's 1533-position model. The record is from RNAcentral.